AGAAUGAACGUUGGCGGCGUGGAUUAGGCAUGCAAGUCGAGCGCGAACCGGCCGCAAGGCUGGGGAAAGCGGCGAAAGGGAGAGUAACGCGUGGAUUAUCUACCCUCGGGAUCGGGAUAGUCCGCCGAAAGGCGGAGUAAUACCGGAUAACGUCCCUGUACCAAAGGUGUGAUUCCGCCUGAGGAUGAGUCCGCGUCCUAUCAGCUAGUUGGUGGGUAACGGCCUACCAAGGCAACGACGGGUACUGGGUGUGAGAGCACGACCCAGCUCACUGGGACUGAGACACUGCCCAGACACCUACGGGUGGCUGCAGUCGAGGAUCUUCGGCAAUGGGCGCAAGCCUGACCGAGCGACGCCGCGUGCGGGAUGAAGGCCUUCGGGUUGUAAACCGCUGUCGUAGGGGAGGAAAUACCAGGUGGUAAUUCAUAAUCCAUUUGCUUGACCUAUCCUAGGAGAAGUACGGCUAAGUCGUCGCCAGCAGCCGC
This 485-nucleotide ribosomal RNA is filed under the name uncultured soil bacterium. RNAcentral's name for it is "bacterial SSU rRNA". It matches the Rfam family "Bacterial small subunit ribosomal RNA", at positions 26 to 518 of the family's 1533-position model. The record is from RNAcentral.